CCGGCGCACGGGUGAGUAACGCGUGGGAACGUACCUUCUUGUGGGGGACAACAGUUGGAAACGACUGCUAAUACCGCAUAAGCCCUUCGGGGGAAAGACUUCGGUCGCGAGGAGAUCGGCCCGCGUUAGAUUAGCUAGUUGGUAGGGUAAAGGCCUACCAAGGCUACGAUCUAUAGCUGGUCUGAGAGGAUGAUCAGCCACACUGGAACUGAGACACGGUCCAGACUCC
Molecule: ribosomal RNA, 229 nt
Filed under: uncultured bacterium
Lineage: Bacteria
Description: partial 16S ribosomal RNA
Rfam family: Bacterial small subunit ribosomal RNA
Source: RNAcentral